GUUGCUAACCAGGUGGUCCAGGCACUCCUCACACAAAAGGACUUGAAAGAGGAAUGCGUGAAACUGCGGACCCGUGUGUUUGACUUGGAGCAACAGAACCGUAUACUGAGUGUGCUGUUUCAACAACGUGUCAAAAUGUCUGCUGUUCCCAUCUCCCAGGAGGGCCAAAGAAAUGGAAAAGCAGGCAUUCCUUCAGGAAGGUGGCCAAGCCUGCUGAGCCUCACGUGCCCCCGCAGCAGUGGGAGCGGCAGCGGCAGUGAACUGUCACUGUCCAGUGCAUGCAGUGAAUUCUCCACUGGCUCCCACACUUGGGCAGAAGGGCGUGGCUCCUCUAAGCAAAAUGCUUCAAGCCGGGACAAACGGUUGAGUAAUGGCUCCGUAUCCAGCAAUCAUUCUGCACCCACUGAGCAAAAAGACAUUGGCUGGAAGGAGGGGCAUAUUUUAAAAGGCCUAAAGCGUCUUCAAAUGAGCAACUCCAAGGAUGCAUCUUCACUUGCUUCUGAACCACACUGCAAAGAUUGCAUGACCUCCAAUGAGGGUAUUUAUUCUCUUGGUGUUAAGUGUGGACAACAAGCGAUUGUAGCUAAGCAGGGAAUCCCUUCAAAUAAGCCUUUUAAAGGAAAAUCAGAGGUUGCCACUCUGGAAUCGGAUGAUCCAGAUGAGGACUCACCAAGGGAGUCUAGAGAUCAACCAAAGAAGGAGCAUCUUUGUUUGGAGAAAUUGGAUCAUGGGAAUGAUGACAGCUUUCAAGAAGACUCCUUGGGACGUUCAGGUAUUUCUGGUCUUUUCCCAUCACCUGGUUCUGACAAGUUCUUAUUUUUGGAGGGCCCAUCAGUGAAACCUGGUGUGAGCCCAUCUGAUAGCCUCACACAUCUGGAAGACACAAACACAAACUCGUUGGAGAAGCACAGGACAUCAAGCCUAAAGUUCAGUGACAGAAAUAAUAACCAGGAGCGGUACAGUGAACGUAAAUCCAGACUUGAUGAUAACAAAAGACAACAGGAAAUAAACUCACAUAAGCAAGUGGAAACAGUCACAAAUGGCGUAGACUUGUCUAUUCAACAUGCUGCUAUGAGAGCUCUUAGCUACACGCAUGAUUCAAGACAGCGCAGCUCCUCAGUGGAGGUCCCUCACUGCAGAGAGCAAGCUCAUCAAGCUCAAAGUGAAACCAAAGAUUCCACCAUCUUGGAGUCUCCACAGAGGAAGCCAUUGCCCCCAGUGUGUGACUCUGCAAGGAACGCUUUCAUUCUCCGGAGCAAAAGCGCAGAUGGAGGGCAAGAAAAACUCAAGCAUUCUCCUCUACACCAAAAGCUUAUAAAAGGUCAAAGAGCAAAAGGACAGACAAACCAAAACCUUUCAGGACACAGUGUUUCUAGCAAAAGGACAAAUGUCAACAAACCCUAUGGCUCUUGUCAGGAAACAUUGUCCAAAUCUGAGGAAGUUGGAGAUUCUAUAAUAUCAUCUAGUUCCAAGUCUGUUGAGAAUGUACAGCACGGCUCUCCUCUUGCAUCUCCUGUGAAACAAUCAAAGGUUGUCAAGAACUCAGGCAUCAACGAGGGCGCAAAAAGUCCAGCAAAAUCCUCUGUGCACAUAAGUAGGCUCUCGAGUGGUGACUCUGUGGAAGAAAGCAUCUACGACAAUUUACCCUGCUCACCAAGAAAACAGCGGCGCCAGGACAAGCACUGUGAAGUCUCCCAAACUGAGCCUAGAUCUCCCUCCUCGCCUCUCACCCCAGGUCAAAGUAUUGCCAUACUAUUUACGCACAACUCUGAUCAAAAAACAUCUGGGAAACAAACACCAACAACAUUGAAGACCCAAACAAAUGAGUUUGUUUCUUCAUCACAUACUGAAAUUCUUGACCCCCUAAAAGACAAUCAACAAACAGCUCAACAAAGAGGUGCUGAAUGUAAACCUAUGAAAGAUAUACCUACCAAUAUUCACCACACCCACAAGAUACCACCUGUCCCCAUACAAGAAUCCCAGCCUCCUGAGUCAGUCCAGUUAUGCACUCACAGAAACGCCCCAUCUCUUGGAGAAAAUGCAGCUGCUGCAAUAUUUCCCCAUCCAAGCAUCCUUCACAGAUCUCAACAGAGCAUUAGUGAGCCAAAGCUUUCAGAAUUUAUGCCACCAGUGUACUCUAACAUUUAUUACCAUGGAAAUUCCCAAAAUCCACCAUCUUCCUCAUCGAGGGCUAUGAAGAGGACUUUCCCUGCUAAUGCUAAAUCUCAUGAAGCAAUUGCUGGUCAAGAUACAAGUACCUUCCUUGUUUUUGGAAGACAACACAAAGAUGAUCUGAAAAGUGCACAAACCUUUCAAACUUUUACUUGUGACCCCCACGUGUGCCACAGUGGGGCACAUGACAAAGUUCAUAGAAAGAUUGAGACUCGUUGUAGUUCCCUAGACUCUGAGCCUGUUCGACCUGUUGCCACAGACAGCAGUGUGAUGUUAGACUGGGGAUUCGAUGAGGAAGGUUGGCUGUUCAAACGCUCAGUGUCUGUUUCCACCAGGCCUCUUUUCAAACCUGUAAUGGGCAUGAAUGGUGCAAAGGCUCGCAGUCAGAGCUUUGGUGCACGCUACAUGGACCGGCCGAGCUUCAAUAGAUCCGGUAAAGUUCGCACUCAGAUCAAAACACACUCUGGGAGCUCUUUGAAUUCUCUUGGGGAUGUCCUUCCUGGUAGUAUGAGUUGCUCCAGUAGUUACCAUUGUCCAAUGAAUAGAUCCCUUUUGAACAACUUUUUGAUUGAAGAGGGACUAACUGUUCCCACGCAGUUGGGUUCCUCCAGUGAAAGGCUUCAGAGCCUGAAACUUCAACGAGAGCAAGCUAGGCGGGUUCAGAUUGAGCAACAAUUUUCCAGCGCCUUUGGGGAGCCAGUCUCAGAAGAACCAGAAAGACAAAGUACCAUAACCACCAUUGAAGAGAAAGUUAUGCUUGGAAUUGAGGAGAACUUGCACAAAUCUCAGGAACAAGAGAGAACGAAUGAAAUCAAGCAAAAGUCUGGCUCAAGUCUUGCAAAUUGGUUUGGUUUUCGUAAAAGUAAGCUGCCGGCACCAAGUAACAAGAAGGCCGAACCAGUCAAAGUCAAAGAGGAAAAACGGGAGCAAAAAAUUACAUCACUUUUGGGAGGGAAGAAUGCAAAGUCUGACAAAAAGAAAGAACGAAGGAAGAGUGAUGGAAAAGAAAGCUCUGUUGGAAGAAGAGAGUCUCAUGAUGCAGUGAGGGCAUGCAUCUCAAUGCCCUGCCCAGGAAUGUCAAUGAGUGAAAUUCAGGGACACACAAACGUCAUCGGGGAACCAAAGUUGCAGGUGAUGAGUCUGAGAGCUGAUGAUGACAAAGGUUCCACGGUGAAGAAUGUCCCCAAGGAUGCAGUAAUAGGUGGAGUGGAGCCAAAGAAAAUGACUAACAUCAAAUCGAAAGGACAUGUCACUCCAGGUCAACAGAAAGAUCAGACCAGGCUUCAGCUUGCCAACUAAAAUCUGAAGCUGUGAGAGCUGGCUUGAAGGAGAAACGAAGAAAUCGAUUAUCUCUCUACCAUAUAUAGAAGAUCCAUAAAAUUCUACACUUUAAAUAUGGUGUCUGCGUGUGCGGAUUAACACCCAAGAAUGAACAGCAUGUGGCAUUAAAGGCUCCCUUGCAGUGCAAAGAUACAGUGGGGAGUCAAGUUCUCUGGCAAACAUUUACGGAAGACCACACCUUACUGGCAGCAGCUGUGAACAACAAACGGAACCUCUAAAUGUGCAACCCCCGACAUUUAUUGACAACUUUUCGGCUGUGUACAUAGCACUUGAUCAAUUUCUAUGUAGCUACUUUCCUUCUCAACCAGCAAAUAAGGAGUGCAUGUGAGCCAAACAUAUCACUCAGUCAGCUGAAGUAUCCAUGGCAUGAGAACAGCAGCUGCAUUCAAGUUCCUUCAGGACCACAGAACACAUGUUUGCAUCUGAUGGAAUCAUUUAUUUAUGUUUAUUUAUGAAGUGUAAAGGAAUGCAUUUAGAAAAAUAUUAGGCACACCAGAAAAAAACAAAUCCUUUAAAGGAAGGAGACCUGACGGGAGUAAAAUGGCAUUAUACAUACAAUAAAAUCUAUUUUCUUAUUUAUUUAUUUAUUUAUUUAUUGAGUUUCAAACUCAACAACUCUGUUCAAGAAGAUCAUCUAAAAUCAAGUGUGGUUAAAUUAUAGUUGUAGAGAAAGAAAUCAUUAAAAAAAAACUAAAGACCCUUGUUUAACCAACAGAAAACACUUCUAAUGUUUUUACUGGCAUAGAAAUGAAAUUACUUUUAUUAUUAAUUUAUGCCCAUUUUUAUGGAUGAUUUUUUGAUGAUUCCUUUAAAUAAAGAAAAAAGAAAAAAGGGUUUGAUGUAAAACAUUUUUAGGGAGUAAUACAGUUAGAGCAACAACAAGGAUAAUUAACACAAAUGUUCACAGAAUUUAUGAAGGUAUUUUUAGAUGUAGCCAGGAAAAACAGACAAUGAAUUAAAUAUACAAUUUUUCAAGAUAUAACUUGUUGGAUGGAAAUGAUAACUAUUUUAAAUAUCGGACAAAUGCACAUAGAUUGUUAAAGGUGAGUUCUCCAUUAGACUAAAAAAGCUAAAUAAAAUGCUUUAUGUUGGAGCGUGAAACUAAAAAUGUGUGUAGAAAGUAAUUAUUUCUACCCGCAAUUCUUUCAUACCAUAUCCAUAAAUAUUGAGGAAAAAAUACAGCAAUAGAAAAAACCUUUCAUCUUAUUUUACCUUAGGUUUUCCAUUCAUGCAUUUUUUGUUGGUGCUUUAUCAGAUUCAGGGUGGCCUGCAGUCUCUUGAGGUUGGUUUCUGAAGCGAAAAAAAGCACAAUAAUUUCAAAAAGGUACAUACGUGUUUUUUUCUAAACAAGGGUUUGAUAAGGAAUCAGAUAGUCUCCAAUCACUUUCCAGGCAUUCUUUGUUUGUUUGUUUUUGCCACACAGCGGGCAAUGGAUGAGUACCUCUGAUGACCCAAAAAUAACAAAACUGCCUUCAAGUACAUUGUAAUUCUCAUUAUGUGCAUGUUAAAAAUACUACUUAAAAAUAUUAAGGUGCAAUAUAGAUCUUAGAUGUCAUAGUUUUGAACUGGCAUCAGUUGGAAUCUCAUCAGUCAUGUCUGAAGCGUAUCUUGUGUACAGCACUAACUGUUGGAUGCCAUUUCUGAACCUGUGAUUCUGUAACGUGUCUACUAGCAAUUCUAAGAUGUCCUAUGUUAAUCGCAACAAUGGUAAUUCCGUAUGCAUGCAACAAGCUGGGUUUGUCCAAAUCUAAUAUCAUAACCAUGAACUUUGUUGCAAGUAAACACAUUUUAUUCUACAAAUCUUGACUUUGUUAAAUAUUUCAUUAUCAUUACAGUUAACCUUUUAUUGCUCUAUGAGUGUUUCUUUUCAUAUAAAGGAAAAUGUCUUUUUUUUUAAUUGAUGAUUACAUCUAUUUGUUUGAAGUGUCUAUAUUUCCACAGUAAUGACAUCAAGAUAAAAUGUAUUUUUGCUUGUAACCUUAAGUUAAAGAGUUGGAGCAUAGUGGACGUUGUUUUACUAGCUCAGGGAAAAUACCAAUUGUUGUCUGUGAUAGAUGCUGUGGAUUAAAGAAGUACACUGCACCUCGAAUAAGGCUAACUACUUAUUUAAACAAAAGCACCAGGUGUCAUUGUUCAUGUUUCAGUUUAGAGUAGCCAACAUAUAAUCAGUAUCUUCUUAUUGUCAGACCACGAUCACUCAGUCUUUCUGUUGUAUAUGCUGUUUUUUUCUAUAACUGCUUUGUGUCAUAACUGCAUUCCCACAUAUUUAGCAAUUGAAGCUGCUUUGCGGCAUUUCCCUGCCACACCUUUGUCUCUGCUUCUCAUGUGUACAUAUUUGGCUCAAUGCAUAUAGCCAAACUGCUCGGAGCUCGUGACAUAUUUAAACAGAUUGCAACUACAUCUUAACAUCAGACUCGUCAUUGUGACUAUAGCCAUAUUUUUUUGGAAAACACUUGAGACAGUUUGCAGGUUUAAGCACUGUAGCAUUGCACACUGAUUAGUCUUGUUAUUCUACUUUAUUUACCUCUUCUUCCAUUAUGCACUUAAGAAGUACGUAUAUUUCGAAGGAAGUAUCUGUAAAAACUGCAGCGAUGUUUACAGCAAUAGCAACACGUGUAUAAAAAAGAAAGGUACACAGGUGAGAGGAAUAUUAGGGGACAGACUUACUGAGCUGAUACGGGUAGGCGGAGCAUCUGUAUAUUAAAAUGACUCGCGUAAAGAAUAGCAUCACUUUCACAAGAGUGUUGUAUUUUUCUAAAAAGGUACUUUAAUUUCUUGUGUUGCUAUUUGGCACUAAUAAAUGUAUGUUUAUUGCACGUAUUGUUUCUCACUAUCACUUUAAACUGUCCUUAAUGUUUUUCCAUUUAGAACCUAGUUAAAACAGUGAUGUUCUAGUGUCAAAGUCACCUAUAGUAUGGACUCAUAAUUGUUUACUACCAAUAUUCUUUGUUUUAUGUCAAAGACUGAAAAAAAUAAACUAUUUCAAUACUUAUUUAUGUUCCAAGGUGUUUGAUUGAUUGAAUACCUUUACCAGCAAUGUUAAAAAGCUGCAGCUGAGACUGUUUCAACAAGACGAUACUUCUGGUUUGCUGCUUCUGCUGAGUACAGUCAUGGUGGUGGAGUGGUAAUGAGUUGGGCUCGUUUUUAUUGCGAAACAACAAUGCAGUAUGGGAAACGAAUUAAUUUUCAGCAAAAAACAUUUCCAAAAUUAAAUCUUGUAAUGUUAUCUCCUUGUAGUUCUUCAUUAAAUACUUUACAGCAUUGUGCAUCAGAACUUUGACAAACAGAAAAGCAAGCUUUCAGAUAUAUUGAGGGGAAUUAACUUACACAAACCAGC
Molecule: long non-coding RNA, 6850 nt
Organism: Oryzias sinensis (Chinese medaka)
Lineage: Eukaryota; Metazoa; Chordata; Actinopteri; Beloniformes; Adrianichthyidae
Source: Ensembl